RNAcentral lists this ribosomal RNA (474 nucleotides) under Pseudoxanthomonas sp. ITRH31. Its description in RNAcentral is "bacterial SSU rRNA". It matches the Rfam family "Bacterial small subunit ribosomal RNA", at positions 29 to 492 of the family's 1533-position model. The record is from RNAcentral. Lineage: Bacteria; Pseudomonadati; Pseudomonadota; Gammaproteobacteria; Lysobacterales; Lysobacteraceae.
AGUGAACGCUGGCGGUAGGCCUAACACAUGCAAGUCGAACGGCAGCACAGGAGAGCUUGCUCUCUGGGUGGCGAGUGGCGGACGGGUGAGGAAUACAUCGGAAUCUACUCUGUCGUGGGGGAUAACGUAGGGAAACUUACGCUAAUACCGCAUACGACCUACGGGUGAAAGUGGGGGACCGCAAGGCCUCACGCGAUAGAAUGAGCCGAUGUCGGAUUAGCUAGUUGGCGGGGUAAAGGCCCACCAAGGCGACGAUCCGUAGCUGGUCUGAGAGGAUGAUCAGCCACACUGGAACUGAGACACGGUCCAGACUCCUACGGGAGGCAGCAGUGGGGAAUAUUGGACAAUGGGCGCAAGCCUGAUCCAGCCAUACCGCGUGAGUGAAGAAGGCCCUCGGGUUGUAAAGCUCUUUUGUUGGGAAAGAAAUCCUGUUGGCUAAUACCCGGCAGGGAUGACGGACCCAAAGAAUAAGCC